Molecule: transfer RNA, 73 nt
Filed under: Candidatus Treponema caballi
Lineage: Bacteria; Pseudomonadati; Spirochaetota; Spirochaetia; Treponematales; Treponemataceae
Description: tRNA-Met
Rfam family: tRNA
About the family: Transfer RNA (tRNA) molecules are approximately 80 nucleotides in length. Their secondary structure includes four short double-helical elements and three loops (D, anti-codon, and T loops). Further hydrogen bonds mediate the characteristic L-shaped molecular structure. tRNAs have two regions of fundamental functional importance: the anti-codon, which is responsible for specific mRNA codon recognition, and the 3' end, to which the tRNAs corresponding amino acid is attached (by aminoacyl-tRNA synthetases). tRNAs cope with the degeneracy of the genetic code in two manners: having more than one tRNA (with a specific anti-codon) for a particular amino acid; and 'wobble' base-pairing, i.e. permitting non-standard base-pairing at the 3rd anti-codon position.
Source: RNAcentral
GGCGGCAUAACUCAGUUGGUAGAGUACCCGGCUCAUAUCCGGUAUGUCGUAGGUUCGAGCCCCACUGCCGCUA